Apus apus (common swift) is the source of this 1278-nucleotide long non-coding RNA. RefSeq lists it as uncharacterized. NCBI's taxonomy places the organism in Eukaryota, Metazoa, Chordata, Aves, Apodiformes, Apodidae. The record is from RefSeq and is a predicted model, not a curated record. The transcript is spliced from 2 exons.
UGCCCGCCAUGGCGGCCGGGAGGGCCUCGGGAUCCGUCCCGGCCCCGGCGCCACCGCCCGGCCCCGGCUAGAGCCGCCUGCUCCUCUUCACCUGCCGUAUUCCUGACCAGCCUGAUGGCAGCGCGGUCAUCUCCCCUCAGCCCCGCACGGCGCUGCCGCUGCCCAAGGCCCCGGCCGAGCAUUGAGCCCCUGGUGAGGCGACCAGCGGCAGGGCCUCCACGGGCCCCAGCGGUACAGCCAGUUUCUGAAGGAGAUCAGUGGCCUCAGUUGCUCUGUCUCUUGCCCAGGGCUCAACUUCCAUGCCUGCUCUUGAAAAUGGUGGGAAGUGAGGAUCCUUCUGCUCAGUCUCAGCUGUCUCCUACAAUGUCCUGUUACUCGGAGCUGAUUCACAAGAGCUGUCAGAAGUGGUGCUACCUUCCCCCUGAAAUGUUAUCAGUCAUGUGAAGCUUUUAGGUGACAAAAUUACCAUGACUCACAAAUGACAGUGAUGGUUGCUAGAAGCUCCUGAGCUGUCUCAGUUGCUAAAGUGUGAGAAGGCUGUUCACCUCGAUUUACCUUCUCAGACCCCAAAACAUAGAGCAAUUUCAGGAAAAAGCCGUUGUAUUUUAAAUAUAUAGCUUUUCUGGAAUAUUUUGUGUGUAUUUAGGGCAGUUGUUACUCCCUUUGAAGUUCAAAAUGAAAAUGUACUGACUGCCCAAAAAAGUUUGCACUGCCACUUCAUAUGCUGUGUGCUUAAACAGCAGCUUUAAUCUUGCAGCAGGGCCUGUCACAAGGACUGUAAUUGCAUGAAAACAGCAAAACACAAAUGCAUGAUAUACUGCAUACAUAAAGUGGAAACUUGUUAACUCGUUAGUUAAAAUACAAACCUCAAUGCCAAGAAACCAGAUGUUACCUAAUUUGAUAAGGACUGCUUGAUCAUGUAUGUAACUGUAGAUCUUUGUGACUGAAAUGAUUGUUACUGUUAUUUUGCUCCCUGUACUAUUUUAGUACCCACAUAGCCUAUGUGAGAAGCAUCUUGUGGCUGCAAAGUAGGCACGUCCUUUCCUCAGAGAAUUUGCAUUGGAGGCAAAUCAGUUUCUGUGGAACAGAAAAUCUAACCUUAAAGGAAGCUAGCUACUUCUCCUUUCUUUUUUAAAGUUUAGUUUCUCCCUUCUAGUUUAUGCAUAUUCUAAAGAUCCACCCAGUUACAGCAUUUAUUAUUAUUUUUUUUUCAGAUGUGUAUCUGUCAAGUUGUUAAAUAAAAAAGCAAAGCACCAAACAGUGCAUUUGAAAAUUAAA